The sequence is a regulatory RNA element, 123 nucleotides long. It matches the Rfam family "Enterobacteria greA leader". The record is from Rfam.
GUCAUACUACGGUGCAUUGAGGUGCAAAGUAAACGAUGACCCAUAGGGAACUCUGGGUUAAAAUACGUAUCAAAAUGCAAAACCGAUCCUGACCCUGGGGGAAUCUCCGGGUCAGGUUUCUUU